Molecule: ribosomal RNA, 1293 nt
Filed under: Triticum aestivum (bread wheat)
Lineage: Eukaryota; Viridiplantae; Streptophyta; Magnoliopsida; Poales; Poaceae
Description: partial small subunit ribosomal RNA
Source: RNAcentral
AUGGCCAACGGCGCCGCCAACCCCGAGAUGGAGAAGAAGUUCCCGGCCGACGUCGAGGCUCCUAAGGCCACCGAGACGGCAGUGGACACAUACCAGAAGAAGACGGAGGCGCUCUCGCUAUCGGCGCCGGAGGACGACGGCGGCGGCGUCCUGCCACUCGACCUGCUCCACGACAUCCUACUGCGCCUUCCUGCCAAGUCGGUCUGCCGCUUCCGGGCCGUUUGCACCGCAUGGCACUCCCUGCUCUGCCACCUGGAUUUCAUCGCAGCCGCUCAACCUGGCCCGCGCAUCGCAGUCGGCCUGUGCUAUGACGGCUCUGGCGAUGUCGUCGUCAGCGUCUUGGACAUGGAUUCUGGCCGCGUCCUCAAGCGGGUGAGCAUUGACGUCACAAGCCGCCACGACACGACGCCACCGCACGAGACGCCCGACGUGAGUCCUGAACGAGCAGUCUGUGUCGUGGGCAACGACGGGCGGCUCCACCUGAUCGACCCUGCCACUGGCGCAGUCAAACUCUUGCCUGACCCGCCGGCAUCAAACCACAUGUCUACUUUGUGCACGCUUGGGUGCGCCGCCUUGACGGGAGAGUACAAGGUGCUCGCCAUCGCGAACGCAGCUAAGCAUGCGUGGCAGCAGAUAUGCCAGAUCAUCACCCUCAACGAUAAUGGCGGGGAGCAGCGCUGGAGGGAGACGGGGACCCCAGGGUACAGUUUGCUAGCGCCACUACCGCCAUGGACUUACAGCAGGGAAGUCGCUGUGGUCGAGGGGGUGGCCUACUUCCUGGUCAAGCCGGACCACACGCUCGACGUGCAGCAUGCCUGGAUCAUGGCGUUUGACCUUGGAGACAAGGUGUGGCAGCCGGAUGCGCUCCAAGGCCCGGAGUGCAAGCACAAUGUCGCCUUAGCCACACUUGAAGGCAAACUCGUUGUGUGCCAUGACAACCGCCAAACCUUCAUGGAGCUAUGGUUUCUUGUGGACCCUGACCAGGCUGACUGGUGUAUGCGGCACAAGAUUGUCAUGCCCUCUCUUAAGCUCUCGUCACCGGUGCCGACUUCUGGCAUGUAUUUCGGGAAGCCAUUAGCGGGGCUAGACGACCGAAUGAUUGUCAUGUGGAUGCGGGUGACACCAACAGGCUGCAGCAUCCCGCUGGACACGGUGCUGCGGUAUUACGACCCAAAAACCAGGGCUUUCACAGAUGGAAUGCAGGUAGCAAAGUGCAGCCAUGUUACUGUGCACACGUGGAGCAUAUUGUAUUCAGGAAGAGGAGGGAUCAGGAGAGCUGCAUUAGAGAGCUAG